This 1531-nucleotide ribosomal RNA is filed under the name Escherichia coli DEC9D. Its description in RNAcentral is "bacterial SSU rRNA". It matches the Rfam family "Bacterial small subunit ribosomal RNA". Lineage: Bacteria; Pseudomonadati; Pseudomonadota; Gammaproteobacteria; Enterobacterales; Enterobacteriaceae. The record is from RNAcentral.
AGAGUUUGAUCAUGGCUCAGAUUGAACGCUGGCGGCAGGCCUAACACAUGCAAGUCGAACGGUAACAGGAAACAGCUUGCUGUUUCGCUGACGAGUGGCGGACGGGUGAGUAAUGUCUGGGAAACUGCCUGAUGGAGGGGGAUAACUACUGGAAACGGUAGCUAAUACCGCAUAACGUCGCAAGACCAAAGAGGGGGACCUUCGGGCCUCUUGCCAUCGGAUGUGCCCAGAUGGGAUUAGCUUGUUGGUGGGGUAACGGCUCACCAAGGCGACGAUCCCUAGCUGGUCUGAGAGGAUGACCAGCCACACUGGAACUGAGACACGGUCCAGACUCCUACGGGAGGCAGCAGUGGGGAAUAUUGCACAAUGGGCGCAAGCCUGAUGCAGCCAUGCCGCGUGUAUGAAGAAGGCCUUCGGGUUGUAAAGUACUUUCAGCGGGGAGGAAGGGAGUAAAGUUAAUACCUUUGCUCAUUGACGUUACCCGCAGAAGAAGCACCGGCUAACUCCGUGCCAGCAGCCGCGGUAAUACGGAGGGUGCAAGCGUUAAUCGGAAUUACUGGGCGUAAAGCGCACGCAGGCGGUUUGUUAAGUCAGAUGUGAAAUCCCCGGGCUCAACCUGGGAACUGCAUCUGAUACUGGCAAGCUUGAGUCUCGUAGAGGGGGGUAGAAUUCCAGGUGUAGCGGUGAAAUGCGUAGAGAUCUGGAGGAAUACCGGUGGCGAAGGCGGCCCCCUGGACGAAGACUGACGCUCAGGUGCGAAAGCGUGGGGAGCAAACAGGAUUAGAUACCCUGGUAGUCCACGCCGUAAACGAUGUCGACUUGGAGGUUGUGCCCUUGAGGCGUGGCUUCCGGAGCUAACGCGUUAAGUCGACCGCCUGGGGAGUACGGCCGCAAGGUUAAAACUCAAAUGAAUUGACGGGGGCCCGCACAAGCGGUGGAGCAUGUGGUUUAAUUCGAUGCAACGCGAAGAACCUUACCUGGUCUUGACAUCCACAGAACUUUCCAGAGAUGGAUUGGUGCCUUCGGGAACUGUGAGACAGGUGCUGCAUGGCUGUCGUCAGCUCGUGUUGUGAAAUGUUGGGUUAAGUCCCGCAACGAGCGCAACCCUUAUCCUUUGUUGCCAGCGGUCCGGCCGGGAACUCAAAGGAGACUGCCAGUGAUAAACGUGGAGGAAGGUGGGGAUGACGUCAAGUCAUCAUGGCCCUUACGACCAGGGCUACACACGUGCUACAAUGGCGCAUACAAAGAGAAGCGACCUCGCGAGAGCAAGCGGACCUCAUAAAGUGCGUCGUAGUCCGGAUUGGAGUCUGCAACUCGACUCCAUGAAGUCGGAAUCGCUAGUAAUCGUGGAUCAGAAUGCCACGGUGAAUACGUUCCCGGGCCUUGUACACACCGCCCGUCACACCAUGGGAGUGGGUUGCAAAAGAAGUAGGUAGCUUAACCUUCGGGAGGGCGCUUACCACUUUGUGAUUCAUGACUGGGGUGAAGUCGUAACAAGGUAACCGUAGGGGAACCUGCGGUUGGAUCACCU